RNAcentral lists this ribosomal RNA (372 nucleotides) under uncultured Chitinophaga sp. Its description in RNAcentral is "bacterial SSU rRNA". It matches the Rfam family "Bacterial small subunit ribosomal RNA", at positions 136 to 507 of the family's 1533-position model. The record is from RNAcentral. Lineage: Bacteria; Pseudomonadati; Bacteroidota; Chitinophagia; Chitinophagales; Chitinophagaceae.
CUGGGAGAUAGCCCACCGAGAGGUGGACUAAUAUCCCAUAGUAUAUUUGAAUGGCAUCAUUUAGAUAUUAAAGCUCCGGCGGUUAAAGAUGGGCGUGCGCCUGAUUAGGUAGUUGGCGGGGUAACGGCCCACCAAGCCCACGAUCAGUAGCUGAUGUGAGAGCAUGAUCAGCCACACGGGCACUGAGACACGGGCCCGACUCCUACGGGAGGCAGCAGUAAGGAAUAUUGGUCAAUGGACGCAAGUCUGAACCAGCCAUGCCGCGUGGAGGAUGAAGGCCCUCUGGGUUGUAAACUUCUUUUCUUUGGGACGAAACCCCUGUUUCUACGGGGACUGACGGUACCAGAGGAAUAAGCACCGGCUAACUCCGUG